RNA transcript from Ceratitis capitata (Mediterranean fruit fly), 2198 nucleotides. It is a transcript of the gene named angiopoietin-2, with no coding region annotated. The transcript is spliced from 6 exons. The record is from RefSeq and is a predicted model, not a curated record. NCBI's taxonomy places the organism in Eukaryota, Metazoa, Arthropoda, Insecta, Diptera, Tephritidae.
AUAAAUUAAAUUUAAAUUAUGAAUUCAUUUAGACGCGACUUAAGGAAAAAGUAGAAUGUUUGAAAAAUUACUUUUUUGUAUAAGCUCUCAAUAUUUGUACUCAGGUAUAAAAAAAUAAAUAAUUAAAGCAUUAUAUGUUGAUAAGCACAAAAGUGAACGCUUAGCAUAAAAAGUGCUGAAAUGCUUCUCAGAAUUGGUAAAUUUAUUUUUUUACUAAAUUGAGCGGAUAGAAAUAUUUUAGUGCUCUCAGAGUGAAAAUGCAGGCCAAAAAAAUCACUUUCGCCACGGCUCUUUUUCUUCAUAGCUCAAGUAGCUAAUAAAAAUAAUUAUUAUCAAUGCCAAUGUCGGUAAAUGACCUCUCUCUAAUGCGUGGCGAAUAUGUGCUGAAGUGCAGCAAACAAUCUUUUGGAAAUUAAAAUCAAAAAAUCGAUGGUACUUUGCCGAUAAAUAACACCUACAUAUAUACGGGAACGUUGGUAUAAAAUUGUACAGCGCUGGUAUACUUCUGUUCAAUGGGCUAAAAAAGUUAGAGCUGUAAAGGUCGCUAAAAAGAUCGGACAUCAAGUGGGCAGAAUAACUGAAAUAAAAAUACUCUUUUUUCUUUGAUGCUCUCCGAUAGUCUCCAAAAGACAUUAAAUUUCAACAAAUUUUGAUAAAUUUCAACGAUAUGACGCGGAAAAUAUUCAUUGUGGCAUUAUUUUGGCUAGCCAUUGGCACAACAGCGGGGCAGGAAGGAAAUGCAUUUACGCUACUCUUCGGUAACGAGGCAUUACUGGAAAAACUGCAAUAUGAAAUCAGGGAUAUUAAAAAGGAAAUGGAGGAUAUUAGAGAAGGACUCACAGUAAACCAGCAGAGUUUAGCGAGCCCUAACCUGCGAUUUGAGCAAGUUGAGAAUGCAUUGCAAAAACAAAAAGAUGAAAUUUUGGAGAAACUGCAAAAAACUGUGACGGAAACUAUAAAUACACAAAACCUGCUACUAGAUCGAAUACUAAAUAUGUUAGAUAAGCAAGUGAAAAAUAUGGAAAACUCCGAAAGUAAUCAGCCACAAAAUGAAAACGAAACAAACCACAAUCUAUUGAAGACUUCACCGUCAAAUUUAGAACGUAACAAAGAAAAAAUCAUCAACAAAACCGCAACGAAGGACGACUCAGUAUCCAAAGCCACUCACGAAAGUCUUUGGCCUACCUAUAGAGCUUUCUAUCCAGAUGUAAGCCAAGCAGUGGUGGGAGUCAACUCAAGACCGCCGAUUGAAACGCUUACCACUGCCAGUAGCUGUGAUGAAGCGAUCCGUCAAAGUAAUGGUAUAGAACAGAAGUCGGGUGGCAUUUUUGCGCUAAAUAUGAGUGCCUAUAAUUUAGGUCAUAUCUAUGUCUAUUGUUUACCUGAUCCAAGUGGUGGACCAGCCUGGCUGGUCAUACAACGCCGCAUUAGUGACAAUAUGUCAUUCGUACGAAGUAAUCCCGAGUAUCAACGUGGUUUUGGCAAUUUAGCCGAAAAUUUCUUUAUGGGUUUGGAUGUAAUACAAAAAAUUAUCUCAACACCGAAUACAAAUACACAAUUAUGGAUACAAUUGGGUACGAUAAUGCAACAGAGUCCCUAUGUGUUGCGUGGCAAUUUCGCUUUAACCACCAAGAAGGACCAACGAGAUUUUGUGCACUCCAAGUUGAAUCGUACUCAUAAACUAAGAGAUAUUAUAUGGGAGGGUUGGCGUGAUAUCAUUUACGUGCAUAUGGCAAUAAGAUGGAGUUUAGAGUAAGCAAAGAUUUUGGGCACUAUAGAUGCUUCUGCGAAAUGUAUAAUCAAAAAUGCUAAAUCUUCAUAUAACCGUAUACAAUAAUUUUACCAUUAUUAAAAAUUCAAAAAACUGAAGAAUUGAAAGAGCAUAACAACAUUGAAUUUUAUGUACCGAUACAUGCAGCUUUUCCUUUCUUACCUAUAAGCUACUAUUAUAUCAGAAAACAUAUCCGGCGUUUAAAUCAAUCGCUUCAGAAAUGGAAAAAUAUAGAGAUUUGAAAAAUGGAGAACCGUAGUGUCUUUUGGUACUAAGACUUUCUGAAAUAAAAUGACCCUUUUGGGAGCCGAAUCAAUAUACCUAUCGUCUCAUGGCCUCUUGUACCGAUUAUUUUCAAGUAUUUAUUGUAACCGAUAUUGGAAACAAUCCAUGAAAAUUAAUUAUAAUAAUCAAAUUCUUAAUUUAU